This is a long non-coding RNA of Lytechinus pictus (painted urchin), 405 nucleotides long. RefSeq lists it as uncharacterized. NCBI's taxonomy places the organism in Eukaryota, Metazoa, Echinodermata, Echinoidea, Temnopleuroida, Toxopneustidae. The transcript is spliced from 3 exons. The record is from RefSeq and is a predicted model, not a curated record.
UCUAUGAUACUUGACCUUUGUGUACGACAACCAACCAAGGAUUGAACUGAUUUGAUAGAAUGGAGUCUGACAGUCUCCCAUUUUCUGUCACUCUCUCUGAUGACAUCACUCCACCGUUGUCCCCUGUCUUACAAGGAGAGGAUCAACCUCAGAAAAGAAUGAAACUCAGCCAGGAUAUCGAUAUUCCCUGGGCACCUCCAAGGUUUGAAUGCUGUCGUCAUAGAAGCUCCUCGUCGUGGUCACCUGAAAACAACAGUUUCCUUGGAUCAAGAACACUUAGCAGGCUCUUGGAGGGUAGUCUGGUAGUGGUAGACCAGCAUGAGGGAUUGACGACUCAGCUGUUUGGAUGUUGUUAUGUUACCAGUACAGCUCUUCUUGACCAAAUAUCACAUCUCUUCUCAACAU